RNAcentral lists this ribosomal RNA (1137 nucleotides) under Plasmodium falciparum (malaria parasite P. falciparum). RNAcentral describes it as "partial 18S ribosomal RNA". It matches the Rfam family "Eukaryotic small subunit ribosomal RNA", at positions 604 to 1460 of the family's 1831-position model. Lineage: Eukaryota; Apicomplexa; Aconoidasida; Haemosporida; Plasmodiidae. The record is from RNAcentral.
UUAAAAUUGUUGCAGUUAAAACGUUCGUAGUUGAAUAUUAAAGAAUCCGAUGUUUCAUUUAAACUGGUUUGGGAAAACCAAAUAUAUUAUAUAUUUUGCUUUGUUCAAAAUAAGGUUUUCUAAUAAAUUAUGUUUUUAUCAGAUAUGACAGAAUCUUUUUUAAAAUCUCUUCAAUAUGCUUUUAUUGCUUUUGAGAGGUUUUGUUACUUUGAGUAAAAUUAAGUGUUCAUAACAGACGGGUAGUCAUGAUUGAGUUCAUUGUGUUUGAAUACUACAGCAUGGAAUAACAAAUAUGAAUAAGCUAAUUUUUUUUUUUUUUCAUAAUUUUUUUUGAUAUUCUUAUUAGCUUAGUUACGAUUAAUAGGAGUAGCUUUGGGGGCAUUCGUAUUCAGAUGUCAGAGGUGAAAUUCUAAGAUUUUCUGGAGACGGACUACUGCGAAAGCAUUUGCCUAAUCUAUUUCCAUUAAUCAAGAACGAAAGUUAAGGGAGUGAAGACGAUCAGAUACCGUCGUAAUCUUAACCAUAAACUAUACCGACUAGGUGUUGGAUGAAUAUAAAAAAUAUAUAAAUAUGUAGCAUUUCUUAGGGAAUGUUGAUUUUAUAUUAGAAUUGCUUCCUUCAGUACCUUAUGAGAAAUCAAAGUCUUUGGGUUCUGGGGGCGAGUAUUCGCGCAAGCGAGAAAGUUAAAAGAAUUGACGGAAGGGCACCACCAGGCGUGGAGCUUGCGGCUUAAUUUGACUCAACACGGGAAAACUCACUAGUUUAAGACAAGAGUAGGAUUGACAGAUUAAUAGCUCUUUCUUGAUUUCUUGGAUGGUGAUGCAUGGCCCGUUUUUAGUUCGUGAAUAUGAUUUGUCUGGGUUAAUUCCGAUAACGAACGAGAUCUUAACCUGCUAAUUUAGCGGUAAGUACACUAUAUUUUUAUUUGAAAUUGAAUAUAGGUAAUUAUACAUGUUUAUUCAGUGUUCAAAUUAGGAUAUUUUUUUAUUAAAAUAUUCUUUUCCCUGUUCUACUAUAAUAAUUUGUUUUUUUUUACUCUAUUUCUCUCUUCUUUUAAGAAUGUACUUGUUUGAUUAAAUAAAGCUUCUUAGAGGAACAGUGUGUAUCUAACACAAGGAAGUUUAAGGCAACAACAGG